AAAACCAAAGCUCUGCUGCAGUGAGUCGAAAUAAAUCCCCAAAAUAAAUCCCCAAAAUAAAUCCCCAAAAUAAAUCGGCUCAGCCCCUCGGGCAGGGCUCCUUUCGGGGAAUUGCCCGGAGAAGCGGCGUUUUGGGGUAAAAAAGGGGAGUUUUGUGUGCUCCCCAAAGCGCAGCCGGAGGUGGGUUCUGCUGCUGAGCCCGCAGCCAGGGGGGGUUUGGGGAGCUGUGGGGGGAUCUGUGGGGUUCUGGAGGGGGUCUGUGGGGUUUCUGUGGGGGUUCUGUGGGGUUCUGGAGGGGUUUCUGGGGAUUAGGGGGUUUCUGUGGGGUUCUGGAGGGGAUCUGUGGGAUUCUGUGGGUUUUUGUGGGGUUUCUGCGGGGUUAUGGGCGUUUCUCUGGGUUUUUCUGGGGUUUCUCUGGGUUUUUUGGGGUUUCUGCUCAUCUGGAGCCCCCGGUGCCCCCCCAGGAUGGUGCAGCAGUUCGGCGUGGACUUCGAGAAGCGCAUCGAGGGCUCGGGGGACCAGGUGGACACCCUGGAGCUGUCGGGGGGCGCCCGAAUCAACCGCAUCUUCCACGAGAGGUUCCCCUUCGAGCUGGUGAAGGUAAAAACGCCGCCGGGGGGCCAGGGGGGGCGGCUCCGGGGGGCGCCCGGCGUGCUGCUGACCACGGCCCCCCCCCUGCCCAGAUGGAGUUCGACGAGAAGGACCUGAGGAGGGAGAUCAGCUACGCCAUCAAGAACAUCCACGGCGUCAGGCAGGUGUUGGGGGGGGUCCCCAAAAAAUCCAGGGGGUGUGGGUGCCCCCUCAGUGCCCCCCCCAGGUUUGGCUGCUGGAAUCUCGUUUUUCUUCCCUUUUUUGGGGAAGAGGGGAGCUGGAGGGGAGGGCAGGGAGCUGAACCCCCCCUGGGGGGAAGAGCCGUCCCCUUCAGGUGCCCUCCUGACCCAGGAGGGGAUUUUGGGGGGGGGGGGCCCAGCCCUCCUGGCGUGCUUCAGCCUCGAAAUUUGGAAGGAGAGCAGAAAUGCAGAGCUUCCCCUCCUCCCCAGGGACCGCUUGGGGUGCAUCCACCCCCCCAAAACCCCCCCAAAAAGGCGGCUCCUCGACUGCCCUCCCCCUCAUCCCAGGGGUUAGGAUUAGGAGCACUAAUUCUAAUUAAUCCUAAAUUGAUCUAAUUAAUCCUAAACCCACCCCAACCUGACGGGGGCGUGGAAAAGGGGGGCAGGAAGCUGCUCCCCGGCGCUGAGCCCCAUCGGGAUGCGGCCUCGGGACCUGACGGC
This 1271-nucleotide long non-coding RNA is filed under the name Anas platyrhynchos platyrhynchos (common mallard). RNAcentral describes it as "lncRNA (ENSAPLG00000023217.1)". The record is from RNAcentral. Lineage: Eukaryota; Metazoa; Chordata; Aves; Anseriformes; Anatidae.